This 300-nucleotide ribosomal RNA is filed under the name uncultured Desulfovibrio sp. RNAcentral describes it as "bacterial SSU rRNA". It matches the Rfam family "Bacterial small subunit ribosomal RNA", at positions 496 to 795 of the family's 1533-position model. The record is from RNAcentral. Lineage: Bacteria; Pseudomonadati; Thermodesulfobacteriota; Desulfovibrionia; Desulfovibrionales; Desulfovibrionaceae.
GCUAACUCCGGGCAAGAUGCCGUGGUAAUACGUAGGGGGCAAGCGUUGUCCGGAAGCAUUGGGCGGAAAGCGCGUGUAGGCGGCUGGCUAAGUCCGCUCUGAAAGCCGGGGGCUCAACCCCGGGAGGCGGGUGGAUACUGGUCAGCUCGAGUCCGGAAGAGGAGUGUGGAAUUCCUGGUGUAGCGGUGAAAUGCGCAGAUAUCAGGAGGAACACCGAUGGCGAAGGCAGCACUCUGGGACGGUACUGACGCUGAGACGCGAAAGCGUGGGGAGCAAACAGGAUUAGAUACCCGGGUAGUC